Molecule: long non-coding RNA, 308 nt
Filed under: Solanum tuberosum (potato)
Lineage: Eukaryota; Viridiplantae; Streptophyta; Magnoliopsida; Solanales; Solanaceae
Description: long non-coding RNA (STUB_LNC005633)
Source: RNAcentral
CCCUCAACCAUUCUUAUUCAAUUUUAUGAGAUAUAAAAGAUUAAUUCAAUUAUAUAAUCUUUAUGACUGAUGUACUAACUAUUAUUUUUUAAAAAUAAAUGUGAAAUAAUAUUUAAAAGGAAAAACAACAUAAAUGGGCCAUAAAAUUCAAAAUAAUUACAAACAAGUUCAUACCCAAACCUAAAGUUAUUCCUGAAAUACUCAUUCUUUCAUAAAUAAUUACAUCUCAUACCACCCCAUUCAUUAUGGCUGAUAAUUUUCGCUUAACUGAUACUCAGUAUCAUAUAUUGUACUGAUAUCAUUAAAGC